Molecule: ribosomal RNA, 1186 nt
Filed under: Parcubacteria group bacterium CG11_big_fil_rev_8_21_14_0_20_39_14
Lineage: Bacteria
Description: partial 23S ribosomal RNA
Rfam family: Bacterial large subunit ribosomal RNA
Source: RNAcentral
AGAGGUACGUGAGCUGGGUUCAAACCGUCGUGAGACAGGUUGGUCCCUAUCUACCGCAGGCGUUGAGUCUUGAGGGGGGUUGCUCGUAGUAAGAAAUUGCUACUUUAUGGAGCAAUCCAUAAUGACAACCCAACUAAUAACGGUGAAACCUUCAUUGACCGAGCCUUCAAUUCGUGGAGGUGAGGUUGGAGAAGAGGAUAAAAUUCUCUUCGACAUUUAUUCGGUUGCAGUGGUCAUAAAAUUUGUUAGUCCUCAAAUUUUAUGAUACAAUCUUUGUUGUGACUCGGAUACUUGAGGACCGUAUAAAUAAUAAGGCAAUACCGUGGGAAGACAAAUAAAGCUAAAACAAAUUGACUUUGCCUAUAUAGCUGGAUUUUUAGAUGGAGACGGAAGUAUUAUGUUUCAGAUUAAGAAAAGAAAAGAUACUUUACGAGGAAAGCGUUUAAUGUUUACUAUCUGCUUUUAUCAAGACACAAGACACGAAAAACCACUCUUUUGGAUAAAAAAUCGGUUAGGCAUUGGAUAUAUUUCAAGGCGUAACGAUGGAAUCACAGAGUUGAGAGUUAAUGGACAUAAACAGGUGCAAAAAAUUUUGCAAAGUUUAUAUCCCUAUCUCCGAUUUAAAAAAGAGCAAGUUAGAUAUCUCUUUCGUGCCAUUAAUAUCUUGAACAAAAGAAAAAUUGAUAAAUUAACCAAAAAAGAAAAAAAAGAGAUAGUAAACGCUCUUAUUGCUGCAAGAAAACAAACAUAUCAGUCAGGGAAGAAAAACCCUAAAAAAUUAAAAGCUGAUUUGAAAGUAAUUAUGGCGCUUUAAUUUGUCCCCGUAACGACUUUAUCCCGCUUUCUGAAAGAACGGGAUAGGAUGGUAGGAAUUAAACAAGCUACCAUAACAUGUUGGCCCGAGCACAUAAAGUGUUGUGUGCUCGGUGAAGAUAUAGUCUAAGCUUAUAGAAAUAUAAGAUAAACUUGACGAGAGGACCCGAGUGAACUGACCUCUGGUGUACCAGCUGUUCCGCCCGGAGCAUUGCUGGGUAGCUAAGUCGGGAACUGAUAAGUGCUGAAAGCAUAUAAGCGCGAAGCAGGCCCCAAGAUUAGGACUCUUUAAGAUUUCCCGCAGACUACGGGAUUGAUAGGCUGUAGGUGGAAGCCCAGUAAUGGGUUAAGCCGAGCAGUACUAAUAAAUCGA